GUCAGCGACUGAGCGAAAGCAUUAAGUAAUCCACCUGGGGAGUACGUCAGCAAUGAUGAAACUCAAAGGAAUUGACGGGGGCCCGCACAAGCGGAGGAACAUGUGGUUUAAUUCGAUGAUACGCGAGGACCUUACCUGGGCUUAAAUGUAGAGUGCAUAGAGUGGAAACAUUCUUUUCCUUCGGGACCCUUUACAAGGUGCUGCAUGGUUGUCGUCAGCUCGUGCCGUGAGGUGUCGGGUUAAGUCCCAUAACGAGCGCAACCCUCAUCGCCAGUUGCCAUCACAUUAUGGUGGGGACUCUGGUGAAACUGCCGGUGCAAACCGUGAGGAAGGUGAGGAUGACGUCAAAUCAGCACGGCCCUUAUGUCCAGGGCUACACACGUGUUACAAUGGCUGGUACAACAGGCAGCUACCACGCGAGUGGAUGCUAAUCCCCAAAACCAGUCUUAGUUCGGAUCGGAGUCUGCAACCCGACUCCGUGAAGCUGGAUUCGCUAGUAAUCGCACAUCAGCCAUGGUGCGGUGAAUACGUUCCCGGGCCUUGUACACACC
Molecule: ribosomal RNA, 551 nt
Filed under: uncultured bacterium
Lineage: Bacteria
Description: bacterial SSU rRNA
Rfam family: Bacterial small subunit ribosomal RNA
Source: RNAcentral